This 7859-nucleotide long non-coding RNA is filed under the name Homo sapiens (human). Its description in RNAcentral is "non-protein coding lnc-BMT2-1:8". Lineage: Eukaryota; Metazoa; Chordata; Mammalia; Primates; Hominidae. The record is from RNAcentral.
AUAAACUGGCAUGUUCUGAAAGAAUCACUCUGGAUGCUGUGUGGAGAAAACACUGAAAAGAGUGAGGAGACAUUUGGAAUAAAUAUGGCUUCUGGGGGCCCAUUCCUAUGGAUCAGCAGCUGGCUUCUGGAGGCCCAUUCCUGUGAAUCGUCGAUCUCAUAGAAGAUAAUAUUGUUAGAAGGCUUACCUCAUUGAUGCUGAACAUCCUAAAAAGCUUCUGCUGCUUUGAGUCACUGAAAAAGACCAAGAAACAUGAAUUUAAAAAAAAAUUUCAAAUGUUAUAAAAUAAAUAAUAUGAACUCAUUAUACCUACAAUGAAUAAUUUAAAUUCUUCUUUGGUAGUCCAGGUUUAGAAACUAUGAAAACCCUAGAAGAAAACCUAGGCAAUGCCAUUCAGGACAUAGGCACGGACAAAGAUUUCAUGACGAAGACGCCAAAAACAACUGCAACAAAAGCAAAAAUUGACAGAUGGGAUCUCAUUAAACUAAAGAGCUUCCAUACAGCAAAAGAAGCUACCAUGAGAGUGAACAGACAACCUAUAGAAAGGGAGAAAAAUUUUGCAAUCUGUUCAUCUGACAAAGGUCUAAUAUCCAGCAUCUACAAGGAACUUAAAUAAAUUUACAAGAAAAAAACAAACCCAUUAGAAAAUGGGCAAAGGACAUGAAAAGAUACUUCUCAAAAGACAUACAUGUGGCCAACAAUCAUACAAAAAAAACCUCAACAUCACUGAUGAUUAGAAAAAUGCUAAUCAAAACCACAACGAGAUACCAUCUCAUACCUGUCAGAAUGGCUAUUAAUAAAAAGUUAAAAAACAACAGAUGCUGGUGAGGUUGUUGAGAAAAAGGAAUACUGUUAUACUGUUGGUGGGAAUGUAAAUUAGUUCAACCAUUGUGGGAGACAGUGUGGCAUUUCCUCAAAGACCUAGAGGCAGAAAUACCAUUUGACUCAGCAAUCACGUUACUGGAUAUAUACCCAAAGGAAUAUAAAUCAUUCUAUUAUAAAGAUACAUGCAUGCGCAUGUUCACUGCAGCAUUAUUCACAAUAGCAAAGACAUGGAAUCAACCCAAAUGCCCAUCAAUAACACACUAGAUAAAGAAAAUGUGGUAUAUAUACACCAUGGAAUACUAUUCAGCCAUAAAAAGGAAUGAAAUCAAGUCCUUUGCAGGAACAUGAAUGAAGCUGAAGGCCAUCAUCUUCAGCAAACUAACACAGGAACAGAAAAUAAAAUACCACAUAUUCUCACUUACAACUGGGAGCUGAAUGAUGAGAACAUAUGGACACAUAUAGGGGCACAACACACACUGGGGCCUGUUGGAGGGUGCUGGGGGGAGGAGGCAGAGCAUCAGGAAGAAUAGCUAAUGGAUUCUGGGCUUAAUACCUAAGUGAUGAGAUGAUCUGUGCAGCAAACUACCAUAGUACAUGUUUACCUAUGUAACAAACCUGUACGUCCUGCACAUGUACCCCUGAACAUUAAAAAAGUGUGUUUAAAUUGUGAGAUAAGGAUUCAAGAGGGCCUCUUGCUUCACUAUUGUUCACUUUCCUAGCUUUAAGUUUUCUCUUCUAUUUAUCAUAAGUAUUUAUCCUUAAAUGCCAUGUCAAAUGAUGACUGGUUAAUUAAUUAUUAUUAUUUUUUAGUUCAAAGGGUCCCUUCUAAUGUUAUUUAUCUUUUAACAAGGGAAGACAGGAAUAUUUUCAAGAUCCAAGUAUUUAAAAAGGUGGAAGUGAGAUAGGAUCGGGGUUUGGAAUGAAGUAGAAAGAAAAGGAAACAUGUAAAAAUGUAAAAUCACCAUGUAGGAGCCCAACAUAUCCAAUAUAAGCUAUACUGCUUUGGGUUAUCUAGCUCAUAAUUUUUCUUUGCCUAAUUUCUCUACUUAGAAAUACCAUGUCACUUACGGUGUGUUUUUAAUUGAGGAAAGUUAAUUACUAACUAUUGUUUUGUAAAACUCAUAUGCCAAUUUAUUCUAGGCUAAAAUCAACUUGGCAGAUAAUUAUUUUUAAAUAACAAACAAAAGACCUUUCCUUUCUGAUGCUUUUCCCAAAACAUGCAAUAUAAACCAAAGAGUAAAACAAAAUAAUGUGUUACACUUCUCUUCAACUAGUCUACCAUCACUUCUGUUUAACUGGUUUGAUACAUUCAUGAAAAAUUUCCUUUAAAAGACAUAUUCUUCUAAAACUAAUUUAAAAUAAAACUCUUAUUAAUAUUUUCAAUUCCUACCACUAUCAAUUAUUUGGAAUUAGACCAGGUUAAGAAUUUAAAACUUUGCCUAUCAUUUUGUAUUUUAAAGUCAUGGGUAUUGAUAAGGGACUAAUAUUUAGGAAUUAUUUUAUGUCUUUCAUUUCCUUAUCUUCUCAGUUAACAGGUAUGCUGAGCCUUUGCUAUUUUCACAAUAAACUGAUUACUUGGUUGAUUUAGGUAGCAAAAAAGAUAAUGAACCUGUAUCAAAUUUCUACUUACAUUAUUUUAUGCAUAGUAAAUAAAAAUUUCAUUGCUGUGCAUCCUCUUACUAGUAACUACAAAUUUUAUAAAAAUACAAUUUUUUAAUUAUUUUGCCACUGAAGCUGCAAUGACUAGCAGAAUGUCUGGCAUAUAACAAGUGCAGAAUUAUUUUUAAUAGAUUUAUUGAGGUAUAUUAAUAUACAAUAAAAUGCCCACAUUUAAAUUGUUUUGACAUUUUGACAAUUGUUUUGACACACAAAAUAAGUUUUGACACAUGUACAGACUCAUAAAGCCCUCACCAAAAUCAAGGUAAUCAACAUAUUCAUUACUCCCAAAAGUUUCCUCAUGCUUUCUUUGUAAUCUCGCCCAGCAAUCACCCCGCACCCCAUCCCCAUGCAACCAGUGAUCUGUUUUCUGUCACCAUAGAUUAGUUUGCAGUUUCUAGAAUUUGAUAUAAGUGAAAUCGAACAGUAUAUAUUGUUUUCUGCCUGGCUUCUUUCACUCAGCUUAAUUAUUUUGAGAUUCAUUUGUCAUGUGCGAAACCAUAGCUUAUUUAUUUUUAUUCCUUUUGUUGACUAGUAUUCUAUUGUAUGGCUGUACUACAGUUUGUUUAUCCAUUCAUCUGUUGAUGAACAUUUGAGUCGUUCCCAGUUUUCGGCUUUUACAGAUUAAGCUACUGUGAUGAUGGGUACAUAAGUCUUUAUAUAGACAUACUUUCAUUUUUCUGGGGUGACACUUCAGAGUAGGAUGGCUGGAUCAUACAGUAGGUGUAUGUUUGACUUUUUAACAGACUGCCAAACUGUUCUCCAAAGUGAUUCUACUAUUUAACAUUUUUAUCUGCAUUGUAUAGCAUUCUCCCUUCCUCUCACUGUUGGUAUGGUCAGUCUUUUGAAUUUUAGCCACUCUCAUAGGUAUACAGUGGUAUCUCAUUGUGGUUUUGUUUUUCCCUAAUGUUUAAUGAUGUUUAGCAUUCAUACAUUUUUUUUUUUUGCCAUCUGUUCAUCAUUUUUAGUGAAGUGUCUUCAUGUCUUUUUCCCAUUUGGUAUAGGAAGGGAGUUGGUUGUUUUCUUAUUAGUUAGCUUUAAGAGCUCUUUGUAUAUUCUGGAUAUUAGUCCUUUAUGAGACAUACGAUUUCAAAUAUUUUCUCCCAUUCAGUGGCUUAUCUUUUCAGUCCUUUAACAGUGUCUUUCAAAGAGCAGAAGUUUAUGAUUUUGCUGAAGUCCAAGUUAUCAGUUUUAUAUGGAUUGUAUUUUGAGUCAACCCUAAAAAAAAAAAAUUGCCUGACUGAAGGUCAUAAAGAUUUUCUCCUAUAUUUUCUUCUAGAAGUUUUAUAGUUUUAGGUUUUAUAUUUAGGUCUGUGUUCCAUUUUGAGUUAAUUUGAAGGGUUUUUUUGUAUAUGGAUGUCCGAUUGUUUCAGCAUUAUUUGUUGAAAAUAUGACUCUUUCUCCACCGAAUUGCUUUUGCGUCUUUGUGGAAAAUUCAGUUAUUUAUACACAAGUGGGUCUGUUUCUGAACUCUGUCUCCUGUUCCAUUGAUCUAUCUGUUAUUUAUGCCAAUACCACACUGUCUUGAUUACUGUGGUUAUAUACUACUCUUAAAAUAUUCAACUUUCUUCUGUGUUUUCAAAAUUGUUUCAGAUCUUCUAGUUUCUUUGUUUUUCCAUAUGAACUUUAGAAUCAGCUUAUCUCUUUUUGUUUGUUUGUUUUUUGAGAGAGAGCCUCACUCUGUCACCCAGGCUGGAAUGCAGUGCCAAUGAUCACGGCUCACCACAGCCUCAACCUCCUGGGCUCAGGUGAUCCUCCCACCUCAGCCUCCCGAAUAGCUGGGACUAUAGGCACACACCACCAUGCCCAACUAAUUUUUGUAGUUUUUGUAGAGACAGGGCUUUGCCAUGUUGCCCAGGCUGGUCUCAGACUCCUGGGCUCAAGCAAUCCUCCCACGUCCACCUCGCAAAGUGCCAGGAUUACAGGCAUAAGCCACCAUGCCUGUCCCAGCUUAUCAAUUUCUACCAAAAAAAAAAAAUUGCCAGAAUUUUGCUUGACACUUUUUUUAUUCUUUAGGUCAAUCCAAGGAAAAUUGACUUAUUAUAACCAUAUUGAGACUUCUGACUCAUGGCUCAAUAUAUUUUUAUUAAAUAAAAGAAGAAUUUUUGAAACGGGUUUUGGAAUAAUUUUCAGAAGUUCUAGGAAAAUUAGAAAUAUCAUGUUUAACUGCUGAAAGAAAUCAUAGAUGACACAAACAAAUGAAAACACAUCUCAUGCUUGGGGUGGGGGGAGGAAAUCAAUAUUGUUAAAAUUACCAUACUGCCCAAAGCAAUCUACAGAUUCAAUGCAAUUCCUAUGAAAAUACCAUCAUCAUUCUUCACAGAACUAGAAAAAAAAUCCUAAAAUUCAUAUGGAACCUGCAUAGCCAAAGCAAUACAAAGCAAAAAGAACAAAUCUGGAGGCAUCACAUCACCCAACUUCGAACUAUACUACAAGGUUAUUGUUACCAAAACAGCAUGGUACUUGUAUAAAAAUAGGCACAUAGACCAAUGGAACAGAAUAGAGAACUCAGAAAUAAAGCCAAAUACUUAUAGCCAACUGAUCUUUGACACAGCAAACAAAAACAUAAAAUGGAGAAAGGACACCCUAUUCAACAAAUGGUGCUGGGAUAAUUGGCAAGCCACAUGUAGGAUGAUGAAACUGGAUCCUCAUCUCUUACCUUAUACAAAAGCCAACUCAAGAUGAAUCAACGACUUAAAUCUAAGGGCUGAAACCAUAAAAAUUCUAGAAGACAACAUCAGAAAAGCCCUUCUAGACAUUGGCUUAGGCAAAGAAUUCGUGACCAGGAACCCAAAGCAAAUGCAACAAAAACAAAAAUAGGUAAAUGGGACAUAAUUAAACCAAAAAGCUUCUGUACAGCAAAAGAAAGAAUCAGCAGAGUAAACACAUAACCCACAGACUAGGAGAAAAUAUUCACAAAGCAUGAAUCUGAGAGAGGACUAAUAUCCAGAAUCUAUAAGGAACUCAAACAAAUCAGCAAGAAAAGAAAUAAAUAAUCCCAUCAAAACGUGGGCAAAGAACAUGAAUAAAUAAUUCUCAAAAAAGAUAUAUAAACAGUCAACAAAUAUAUGAAAACAUGCUCAACAUCACUAAUUAUCAGGUAAAUGCAAAUUAAAAUUGCAAUGAGAUACCCCCUUACUUCUGCAAGAAUGGCCAUAAUAUGAAAAAGACACUUGCACAUGCAUGUUUAUAGCAGCAAAAUUCAUAAUUGCAAAAAUAUGGAGCCAACAUACCUGCCCAUCAAUCAAUGAGUGGAUAAAGAAAAUGUGGUAUAUAUACACCAUCGAAUGUGGUAUAUAUGCACUCAGUCAUAAAAAGAAAUGAGAUAAUGUAUGUUGCACCAACUUGGAUGGAGCUGGAGGCCAUUAUUCUACAUGAAGUAACCCUCAGGAAUGAAAAACCAAAUAAUGUAUGUUCUCACUUAUAAGUAGGAGCUAAGCUGUGAGAAUGCAAAGGCUUAAGAAUGAUAUCAUGGGCUUUGGAGACUUGUGGGGAAGGAUGGGAGGGGGGUGAGAGAUAAAAGACUACACAUUGGGUACAGUGUACACUGCUCAGGUGACAGGUGCACCAAAAUCUCAGAAAUCACCACUAAAGAGUUUAUCACUGUAACCAAAAACCACCUGUUCACCAAAAGCUAUUGAAAUUUUAAAAAGAGAUAAAAUAAAAAUGCAUAGUUUAAAAAUGUAGAUAGUAUUCAUAUGGUUCAAAACUCCAAAAUUAUAGAAGAAUACAGAGCAUCCCUCCCACUCUUGCCUCCCAGGAACCCAAUUCUCAUCCUCCAUGAUCUGCACAUUAAAAGUUUCCCCAUUCAUUUUUAUGGCCCUGGAUGUAGGGCCAUAAAAUGGCUUGUAAGGAUGUUCCAUAAUUUAUUUAAUCAGUGUCUUAGUGAGGGACAUUUAGAUUAUUUCCAAUUCUUUGCCACUACAAAAAUUCCACAAUAAAUAACCUUGUACAAUCAUAAUUUCCUACAUGUAUGUACAUAGCUGAAGAAUAAAUUCUUUAAAAUGAGAUUGACACCUCAAAGGGUAUAGAUAUUUAUACUUUUGAUAGUUACUGCCAAAUUGCCAUCCAAAGGCAAUAGAAAAUGUAUAUUCUCAAUUUUUAGAUCUUUGUAAAUCUCAUAGAUGAAAAAUGUCAUCAGAGCACAGUUUUUUAUUUCUUUUACUAUGAAUGAGGUGAGUAUAUUUUGAUAUAUUUAAGAACAAUUUAUAUUUCUUUGUAUGAACUACUUAAAUGUUCUUACUUUAGUUUCUUCAUUUGUACCUCAGUUUCCUCAUAGGGUUGUUGUAAAGAUAAAAUAAUUCGUAUGCAGAAAUAUCAAGAACAGUGCCUAGAACAUAAUAAGCACCAUGUAAGCGGUUACUCUUAUUGCCAUCAUCAUCAUUUGUUCAUAUCCUUUAUCCAUUUUUCUACCGGGUUGUUGAUCUGUCCUCCUGUUUUUGUAGAAAUUACUGAAGUGUAAGAAGGGUGGCCACAUAUCACACAUCUCAGUUUGUCUGAGAAAGUCCCAAUGUAUGCCUGUUGUCUUAGCAUAAUAAUUAAUAAGGCCCCUGCACACUUUCAAAUGGUAGUGAUUUGAAUGAUAUGGUCACUUUCAAAUGGUAGUGAUUUGAAUUACAUGGUGAAGUAAAUUAAAACUGCAUUUGGAAUCUCCAAAAAAAAGACAAAUACAUAGAAACAGAGAGUAGAAUGGUGGUUACUAGAGGUGGGGAUUGGGAACACACAAAGGGGAUGGGGAGAUGGAGGUAAAAGGGUGCAAAGCUGUAGUUGUAUGUAGGAUGAAUAAGUCUAGAGAGUAAGACUAAAGAUCCAAUGUAUAGCAUGAGGACUAUAGUUAAUAGUAUUGCACUGCAUGCUGGAAAUUUGCUGAGAGAAUAGAUUUCAGGUGCUUUUAACACACAACGAGGGAAAGGUAACUAUGUGAGAAGAUGUGUAUAUUAACUUGCUUGACUGCAGUAACCAUUCCACUGUGUAUAUCAAAACAUCAUGUGGUCAGGAACAAUGACUCAUGCCUGUAAUCCCAUUGCUUUAGGAAAGGCAAGGCAGGGAGGAUCCCUUGAGACCAGAAGUUCAAGACCAGCCUGGGCAACACAGCAAGACCCCCAUCUCUAAAAAAGAAAAAAAAACUUAAUUAGCCAGGCAUGGUGACAUGCACCUGUGGUCCUAGCUACUCAGGAGGCUGAAGGGGGAUGAUCACUUGAGCCCAGGAGUUUGAGGUUACAGUGAACUAUGAUUGCGCUGCUACACUCCAGCCUGGACAACACAGCAAGGCCCUAUCUCUAAAAAGAAAAAUUUUUUAAAAAUAAUUAAAUAUAUAUAAUUUUUAAAAAAGAAAUAUGUUUAUUAAAAUAUGGUAGUAAAUUUUGAUCUGGCUUUUC